RNAcentral lists this ribosomal RNA (372 nucleotides) under uncultured organism. RNAcentral's name for it is "bacterial SSU rRNA". It matches the Rfam family "Bacterial small subunit ribosomal RNA", at positions 526 to 896 of the family's 1533-position model. The record is from RNAcentral.
CAGAGGGGGCAAGCGUUGUUCGGAAUUACUGGGCGUAAAGGGCGCGUAGGCGGCCUGUUAAGUCGAACGUGAAAUCCCCGGGCUCAACCCGGGAACUGCGUCCGAAACUGGCAGGCUUGAAUCCGGGAGAGGGAUAUGGAAUUCCAGGUGUAGCGGUGAAAUGCGUAGAUAUCUGGAGGAACAUCGGUGGCGAAGGCGACAUCCUGGACCGGUAUUGACGCUGAGGCGCGAAAGCCAGGGGAGCAAACGGGAUUAGAUACCCCGGUAGUCCUGGCCCUAAACGAUGAAUGCUUGGUGUGGCGGGUAUCGAUCCCUGCCGUGCCGAAGCUAACGCAUUAAGCAUUCCGCCUGGGGAGUACGGUCGCAAGGCUG